This 301-nucleotide ribosomal RNA is filed under the name uncultured bacterium. Its description in RNAcentral is "partial 16S ribosomal RNA". It matches the Rfam family "Bacterial small subunit ribosomal RNA", at positions 509 to 807 of the family's 1533-position model. The record is from RNAcentral.
CAGCAGCCACGGUAAUACGUAGGUGGCAAGCGUUGUCCGGAAUUGUUGGGCGUAAAGGGCUCGCAGGCGGUUUCUUAAGUCUGAUGUGAAAGCCCCCGGCUUAACCGGGGAGGGUCAUUGGAAACUGGGAAACUUGAGUGCAGAAGAGGAGAGUGGAAUUCCACGUGUAGCGGUGAAAUGCGUAGAGAUGUGGAGGAACACCAGUGGCGAAGGCGACUCUCUGGUCUGUAACUGACGCUGAGGAGCGAAAGCGUGGGGAGCGAACAGGAUUAGAUACCCCUGUAGUCCUUGUCUCUUAUAC